RNAcentral lists this ribosomal RNA (1693 nucleotides) under Escherichia coli. RNAcentral describes it as "partial 23S ribosomal RNA". It matches the Rfam family "Bacterial large subunit ribosomal RNA", at positions 1272 to 2925 of the family's 2925-position model. The record is from RNAcentral. Lineage: Bacteria; Pseudomonadati; Pseudomonadota; Gammaproteobacteria; Enterobacterales; Enterobacteriaceae.
UGCUGGAGGUAUCAGAAGUGCGAAUGCUGACAUAAGUAACGAUAAAGCGGGUGAAAAGCCCGCUCGCCGGAAGACCAAGGGUUCCUGUCCAACGUUAAUCGGGGCAGGGUGAGUCGACCCCUAAGGCGAGGCCGAAAGGCGUAGUCGAUGGGAAACAGGUUAAUAUUCCUGUACUUGGUGUUACUGCGAAGGGGGGACGGAGAAGGCUAUGUUGGCCGGGCGACGGUUGUCCCGGUUUAAGCGUGUAGGCUGRUUUUCCAGGCAAAUCCGGAAAAUCAAGGCUGAGGCGUGAUGACGAGGCACUACGGUGCUGAAGCAACAAAUGCCCUGCUUCCAGGAAAAGCCUCUAAGCAUCAGGUAACAUCAAAUCGUACCCCAAACCGACACAGGUGGUCAGGUAGAGAAUACCAAGGCGCUUGAGAGAACUCGGGUGAAGGAACUAGGCAAAAUGGUGCCGUAACUUCGGGAGAAGGCACGCUGAUAUGUAGGUGAAGCGACUYSCUCGUGGAGCUGAAAUCAGUCGAAGAUACCAGCUGGCUGCAACUGUUUAUUAAAAACACAGCACUGUGCAAACACGAAAGUGGACGUAUACGGUGUGACGCCUGCCCGGUGCCGGAAGGUUAAUUGAUGGGGUUAGCGGUAACGCGAAGCUCUUGAUCGAAGCCCCGGUAAACGGCGGCCGUAACUAUAACGGUCCUAAGGUAGCGAAAUUCCUUGUCGGGUAAGUUCCGACCUGCACGAAUGGCGUAAUGAUGGCCAGGCUGUCUCCACCCGAGACUCAGUGAAAUUGAACUCGCUGUGAAGAUGCAGUGUACCCGCGGCAAGACGGAAAGACCCCGUGAACCUUUACUAUAGCUUGACACUGAACAUUGAGCCUUGAUGUGUAGGAUAGGUGGGAGGCUUUGAAGUGUGGACGCCAGUCUGCAUGGAGCCGACCUUGAAAUACCACCCUUUAAUGUUUGAUGUUCUAACGUUGGCCCSUKAUCSGGGUUGCGGACAGUGUCUGGUGGGUAGUUUGACUGGGGCGGUCUCCUCCUAAAGAGUAACGGAGGAGCACGAAGGUUGGCUAAUCCUGGUCGGACAUCAGGAGGUUAGUGCAAUGGCAUAAGCCAGCUUGACUGCGAGCGUGACGGCGCGAGCAGGUGCGAAAGCAGGUCAUAGUGAUCCGGUGGUUCUGAAUGGAAGGGCCAUCGCUCAACGGAUAAAAGGUACUCCGGGGAUAACAGGCUGAUACCGCCCAAGAGUUCAUAUCGACGGCGGUGUUUGGCACCUCGAUGUCGGCUCAUCACAUCCUGGGGCUGAAGUAGGUCCCAAGGGUAUGGCUGUUCGCCAUUUAAAGUGGUACGCGAGCUGGGUUUAGAACGUCGUGAGACAGUUCGGUCCCUAUCUGCCGUGGGCGCUGGAGAACUGAGGGGGGCUGCUCCUAGUACGAGAGGACCGGAGUGGACGCAUCACUGGUGUUCGGGUUGUCAUGCCAAUGGCACUGCCCGGUAGCUAAAUGCGGAAGAGAUAAGUGCUGAAAGCAUCUAAGCACGAAACUUGCCCCGAGAUGAGUUCUCCCUGACUCCYUGAGAGUCCUGAAGGAACGUUGAAGACGACGACGUUGAUAGGCCGGGUGUGUAAGCGCAGCGAUGCGUUGAGCUAACCGGUACUAAUGAACCGUGAGGCUUAACCUUACAACGCCGAAGRUGUU